UACGUAGGGCGCAAGCGUUGUCCGGAAUUAUUGGGCGUAAAGAGCUCGUAGGCGGCCUGUUGCGUCCGCUGUGAGAUCCCGGGGCUCAACCCCGGGCCUGCAGUGGAUACGGGCUGGCUAGAGGCAGGCAGGGGAGAACGGAAUUCCUGGUGUAGCGGUGAAAUGCGCAGAUAUCGGGAGGAACACCGGUGGCGAAGGCGGUUCUCUGGGCCUGUACUGACGCUGAGGAGCGAAAGCGUGGGGAGCGAACAGG
This 253-nucleotide ribosomal RNA is filed under the name uncultured bacterium. Its description in RNAcentral is "partial 16S ribosomal RNA". It matches the Rfam family "Bacterial small subunit ribosomal RNA", at positions 524 to 776 of the family's 1533-position model. The record is from RNAcentral.